UGUUAGCUCAGCUGGAUAGAGCGCAUGACUACGAAUCAUGAGGUCGGGGGUUCGAAUCCCUCACGG
RNAcentral lists this transfer RNA (66 nucleotides) under bovine gut metagenome. It matches the Rfam family "tRNA", at positions 6 to 65 of the family's 71-position model. Rfam says of the family: Transfer RNA (tRNA) molecules are approximately 80 nucleotides in length. Their secondary structure includes four short double-helical elements and three loops (D, anti-codon, and T loops). The record is from RNAcentral.